RNAcentral lists this ribosomal RNA (443 nucleotides) under uncultured bacterium. RNAcentral describes it as "partial 16S ribosomal RNA". It matches the Rfam family "Bacterial small subunit ribosomal RNA", at positions 338 to 795 of the family's 1533-position model. The record is from RNAcentral.
CCUACGGGGGGCAGCAGUGGGGAAUAUUGGGCAAUGGGCGCAAGCCUGACCCAGCAACGCCGCGUGAAGGAAGAAGGCUUUCGGGUUGUAAACUUCUUUUCUGAGGGACGAAGAAAGUGACGGUACCUCAGGAAUAAGCCACGGCUAACUACGUGCCAGCAGCCGCGGUAAUUCGUAGGUGGCAAGCGUUAUCCGGAUUUAUUGGGUGUAAAGGGCGGGUAGGCGGGAAAGCAAGUCAGAUGUGAAAACUCAGGGCUCAACCCUGAGCCUGCAUUUGAAACUGGUUUUCUUGAGUGCUGGAGAGGGAAUCAGAAUUGCGGGUGUAGCGGUGAAAUGCGUAGAUAUACGGAGGAAAACCAGUGGCGAAGGCGGAUUGCUGGACAGUAACUGACGCUGAGGCGCGAAAGCGUGGGGAGCAAACAGGAUUAGAUACCCCAGUAGUC